ACCAACGAACAAAUCAACAAUGAGGGGAAGAAGGAAACAGAAGAACCAACCAAGAACAACAACAGGGAGGCAUGGCGGAGGAGGGUUUGCGUGGCGAUGCCAAGGUAGGCGCAGUGGCUCCUUGAGUAGAUCUAAAACAUAGUGGGAGGGUGGAGAAGGAAGGUAAAGGAAAGGGAAGAGUAGGAGAGGAGAGCUUGCGGAGGAGCGUGGCGGCAACAACACAGAAAGAAGAAGUAGAGCAAGUUGCGAAAAGAAGCACAGAGAAAGACAGUGUGAUUUGGGGAAAAAAAUGAAAGAAAGUGAAAGCAAGGUGUGGUGCCG
Molecule: long non-coding RNA, 321 nt
Filed under: Glycine max (soybean)
Lineage: Eukaryota; Viridiplantae; Streptophyta; Magnoliopsida; Fabales; Fabaceae
Description: long non-coding RNA (GMAX_LNC002914)
Source: RNAcentral